This 72-nucleotide transfer RNA is filed under the name Rhipicephalus sanguineus (brown dog tick). Its description in RNAcentral is "transfer RNA glutamic acid (anticodon UUC)". It matches the Rfam family "tRNA". From Rfam's summary of the family: Transfer RNA (tRNA) molecules are approximately 80 nucleotides in length. Their secondary structure includes four short double-helical elements and three loops (D, anti-codon, and T loops). Further hydrogen bonds mediate the characteristic L-shaped molecular structure. tRNAs have two regions of fundamental functional importance: the anti-codon, which is responsible for specific mRNA codon recognition, and the 3' end, to which the tRNAs corresponding amino acid is attached (by aminoacyl-tRNA synthetases). tRNAs cope with the degeneracy of the genetic code in two manners: having more than one tRNA (with a specific anti-codon) for a particular amino acid; and 'wobble' base-pairing, i.e. permitting non-standard base-pairing at the 3rd anti-codon position. The record is from Rfam by way of RNAcentral. Lineage: Eukaryota; Metazoa; Arthropoda; Arachnida; Ixodida; Ixodidae.
GCCGCCGUGGUCUAGUGGCUAGGAUACCUGGCUUUCACCCAAGAGGCCCGGGUUCGAUUCCCGGCGUCGGAA